This 151-nucleotide ribosomal RNA is filed under the name Megalospora tuberculosa. Its description in RNAcentral is "5.8S ribosomal RNA". It matches the Rfam family "5.8S ribosomal RNA". From Rfam's summary of the family: 5.8S ribosomal RNA (5.8S rRNA) is a component of the large subunit of the eukaryotic ribosome. It is transcribed by RNA polymerase I as part of the 45S precursor that also contains 18S and 28S rRNA. The record is from RNAcentral. Lineage: Eukaryota; Fungi; Ascomycota; Lecanoromycetes; Teloschistales; Megalosporaceae.
CUUUCAACAACGGAUCUCUUGGUUCUGGCAUCGAUGAAGAACGCAGCGAAAUGCGAUAAGUAAUGUGAAUUGCAGAAUUUAGUGAAUCAUCGAAUCUUUGAACGCACAUUGCGCCCCCUGGCAUUCCGGGGGGCAUGCCUAUUCGAGCGUU